RNAcentral lists this transfer RNA (85 nucleotides) under Parcubacteria bacterium DG_74_2. RNAcentral's name for it is "tRNA-Ser". It matches the Rfam family "tRNA". From Rfam's summary of the family: Transfer RNA (tRNA) molecules are approximately 80 nucleotides in length. Their secondary structure includes four short double-helical elements and three loops (D, anti-codon, and T loops). Further hydrogen bonds mediate the characteristic L-shaped molecular structure. tRNAs have two regions of fundamental functional importance: the anti-codon, which is responsible for specific mRNA codon recognition, and the 3' end, to which the tRNAs corresponding amino acid is attached (by aminoacyl-tRNA synthetases). tRNAs cope with the degeneracy of the genetic code in two manners: having more than one tRNA (with a specific anti-codon) for a particular amino acid; and 'wobble' base-pairing, i.e. permitting non-standard base-pairing at the 3rd anti-codon position. The record is from RNAcentral. Lineage: Bacteria; Candidatus Parcubacteria.
GGUGGGAUUCCUGAGUGGCUUAAAGGGACUGUCUUGAAAACAGUUGUAGCGUAAGCUACCGGAGGUUCGAAUCCUCCUCCCACCG